Molecule: ribosomal RNA, 352 nt
Filed under: Streptococcus sp. oral taxon C65
Lineage: Bacteria; Bacillati; Bacillota; Bacilli; Lactobacillales; Streptococcaceae
Description: bacterial SSU rRNA
Rfam family: Bacterial small subunit ribosomal RNA
Source: RNAcentral
GACGAACGCUGGCGGCGUGCCUAAUACAUGCAAGUAGAACGCUGAAGAGAGGAGCUUGCUCUUCUUGGAUGAGUUGCGAACGGGUGAGUAACGCGUAGGUAACCUGCCUUGUAGCGGGGGAUAACUAUUGGAAACGAUAGCUAAUACCGCAUAACAAUGAAUGACACAUGUCAUUUAUCUGAAAGGGGCAAUUGCUCCACUACAAGAUGGACCUGCGUUGUAUUAGCUAGUAGGUGAGGUAACGGCUCACCUAGGCGACGAUACAUAGCCGACCUGAGAGGGUGACCGGCCACACUGGGACUGAGACACGGCCCAGACUCCUACGGGAGGCAGCAGUGGGGAAUAUUGCACA